AAGGAACGACUUCUGGGUGCCACAGCGAAAGCGUUAAGCGUCCCACCUGGGGAGUACGCCGGCAACGGUGAAACUCAAAGGAAUUGACGGGGGCCCGCACAAGCGGAGGAACAUGUGGUUUAAUUCGAUGAUACGCGAGGAACCUUACCCGGGCUCAAACGGGAGACGCCGCAGGCAGAGACGCCUGUUUCCUUAGGGACGUCUUCCGAGGUGCUGCAUGGUUGUCGUCAGCUCGUGCCGUGAGGUGUCGGCUUAAGUGCCAUAACGAGCGCAACCCCCACCGCCAGUUGCCAGCAGGUGAAGCUGGGGACUCUGGCGGGACUGCCGGCGCAAGCUGCGAGGAAGGCGGGGAUGACGUCAAAUCAGCACGGCCCUUACGUCCGGGGCGACACACGUGUUACAAUGGGCGGUACAGCGGGAAGCCAGGCGGCGACGCCGAGCGGAACCCGAAAGCCGUUCUCAGUUCGGAUCGGAGUCUGCAACCCGACUCCGUGAAGCUGGAUUCGCUAGUAAUCGCGCAUCAGCCAUGGCGCGGUGAAUACGUUCCCGGGCCUUGUACACACCGCCCGUCAAGCCAUGGGAGCCGAGGGCGCUUGAAGUGCGUCGCCGGGAGGCGCGCCCUAGAGCGAAAUCGGUGACUGGGGCUAAGUCGUAACAAGGUAGCCGUACCGGAAGGUGCGGCUGGAACACCUCCUUU
This 697-nucleotide ribosomal RNA is filed under the name Klebsiella pneumoniae. Its description in RNAcentral is "bacterial SSU rRNA". It matches the Rfam family "Bacterial small subunit ribosomal RNA", at positions 828 to 1533 of the family's 1533-position model. The record is from RNAcentral. Lineage: Bacteria; Pseudomonadati; Pseudomonadota; Gammaproteobacteria; Enterobacterales; Enterobacteriaceae.